Gossypium raimondii (Peruvian cotton) is the source of this 87-nucleotide non-coding RNA. NCBI's taxonomy places the organism in Eukaryota, Viridiplantae, Streptophyta, Magnoliopsida, Malvales, Malvaceae. The record is from Rfam.
CCUGGGGGCGCGCUUUGCUUACGUGGACACAAAGCGCGCUUACGAGGACGCGCUUUGUUGCCACGUAGGCAAAGCGCGCCCCCUGGG